Non-coding RNA from Heligmosomoides polygyrus, 71 nucleotides. NCBI's taxonomy places the organism in Eukaryota, Metazoa, Nematoda, Chromadorea, Rhabditida, Heligmosomidae. The record is from Rfam.
GAGCCGGUGGUGUAAGGCGAACAUCGCUGCCCGGAAAGCAGAAGAUGCGGGUUCGAGUCCCGCCUGGCGCA